UCCACGCUGUAAACGAUGUCGAUUUGGAGGUUGUGGUCUUGAACCGUGGCUUCCGGAGCUAACGCGUUAAAUCGACCGCCUGGGGAGUACGGCCGCAAGGUUAAAACUCAAAUGAAUUGACGGGGGCCCGCACAAGCGGUGGAGCAUGUGGUUUAAUUCGAUGCAACGCGAAGAACCUUACCUACUCUUGACAUCCAGAGAAGCCUGCAGAGAUGCGGGU
This 220-nucleotide ribosomal RNA is filed under the name uncultured bacterium. RNAcentral's name for it is "partial 16S ribosomal RNA". It matches the Rfam family "Bacterial small subunit ribosomal RNA", at positions 794 to 1013 of the family's 1533-position model. The record is from RNAcentral.